AACGAACGCUGGCGGCAUGCCUAACACAUGCAAGUCGAACGAGACCUUCGGGUCUAGUGGCGCACGGGUGCGUAACGCGUGGGAACCUGCCCUUAGGUUCGGAAUAACGCCCCGAAAGGGGUGCUAAUACCGGAUAAUGUCUUCGGACCAAAGAUUUAUCGCCUUUGGAUGGGCCCGCGUUGGAUUAGCUAGUUGGUAGGGUAAAAGCCUACCAAGGCGACGAUCCAUAGCUGGUCUGAGAGGAUGAUCAGCCACACUGGGACUGAGACACGGCCCAGACUCCUACGGGAGGCAGCAGUGGGGAAUAUUGGACAAUGGGCGAAAGCCUGAUCCAGCAAUGCCGCGUGAGUGAUGAAGGCCUUAGGGUUGUAAAGCUCUUUUACCCGGGAUGAUAAUGACAGUACCGGGAGAAUAAGCUCCGGCUAACUCCGUG
This 433-nucleotide ribosomal RNA is filed under the name uncultured bacterium. Its description in RNAcentral is "partial 16S ribosomal RNA". It matches the Rfam family "Bacterial small subunit ribosomal RNA", at positions 29 to 507 of the family's 1533-position model. The record is from RNAcentral.